RNAcentral lists this ribosomal RNA (103 nucleotides) under uncultured eukaryote. Its description in RNAcentral is "partial small subunit ribosomal RNA". It matches the Rfam family "Eukaryotic small subunit ribosomal RNA", at positions 1296 to 1460 of the family's 1831-position model. The record is from RNAcentral.
AGUUGGUGGAGUGAUUUGUCUGGUUAAUUCCGUUAACGAACGAGACGUUCUAUAUUUGAUGACUGCCUGUUUCAAGCAGGAGGAAGUUGAACGCAAUAACAGG